Molecule: RNA transcript, 2189 nt
Organism: Lactuca sativa (garden lettuce)
Lineage: Eukaryota; Viridiplantae; Streptophyta; Magnoliopsida; Asterales; Asteraceae
Source: RefSeq, a predicted model, not a curated record
GACCAUCCCUUCUAAUUUCUAUUUUUGGUUUUCAAUCAUUAUCUCGCACUCUGGUUUUUAUUAUUUUUGGGUUUUUUUGUAAGUCGAACAGAUAGAUGUCAAAAGCAUAUAUCAACAUCCUCAUGAUCUUCUUAGUUUUCUCCAUCUCAUUUGCUCUAAACCCUAAUCGCUUCCUUCAACCCAUACCACAAAGGGUCACCUAUCGAUUUCAUAUAUCAAAUCAAUAUUAUGUGUUCUUCCCCACUGCUAUAUGUUCUUCCUCUGCUGCUCUGCCUUCACUGUCUUCUUAUUUGAACUCUCUUUUUAGUUUUCGAUCAUAAAUACAUACCCAGGUGCGAAACUCUAUUUUUCUAUUACUCUAGUGUAUUUUUUACGUGAAGUAUAUCAAAUUCAAGUCAACAAUUUUACUUCAACCCUAAUUACACAAGCGACUAUCUUUUGGAUUACAUUAUCAUAUGGAUUUCUCGAUGCCACCUUACAGAAUUCAACUGGAGAAUCACUUGAAGGUGUGAAUUUUACUAGCAUUUUCUGCUGCCACUGAGGUAUCAGAGCUUCAACAAAUGUGGAAAGAGAGAACCAUUAGUAGUGUGUGAAGGUGUAUCGACUCAAUGAUGAUGAAAAAUGGGAUGAUUAAGGGACUAGUCAUGUCACUGUUGACUAUUUAGAGAGAUAUGAAGAAUUGGGCUUGUUUGUUGUUAAUGAAGAAGACAAUGAAACCCUGCUAAUGCACCGAAUUUGCUCUGAUGAUAUAUAUCACAAACAAGAAGGAAUUAGAGUUUUCAAGUGAAAUAGCUCUUAGCUUUCAAGAAACCACAGGGUGCACAUACACAUGAUGAGUCAUAUCAUGGGGCUAAUAAUGAGUUAAGGGAGCUGUCAGCAGUAGAAGUUAAACUUACAUUUAUAUUUUACUUUGAGUAUUUUUCUUAUAAAAUUGGUGUUAAAUAAUAUUUUUUCUUGCAGGUUGUGGUUGAUGGUAGUGUUACAGAUCAGCCGUGUGUAACAGAGCUCAUACUACAUGAUUUCUACUCAACAGUCCUCAAAUCUUUGAGAAAAUAUUUGGUGAUGAAUUCAUCAUGGAUAUUAUUGGGUGUCUGCCCAUUAAUUAUCUCGUCAAGAUCUUGUGAGCUGGAAAAUGCCCUUGACAAAAGGCUGCUUCCUGUACCUGAUGUACCUUAUAGAUUAUGGAAUCACGUGUUUGUUGUUUGAAAUGUUUAACAUGCUAUGUGACUUAGCUUGCAAAAACUACAAAAUGAUUGAUAUUUUUAUUUUGGAGAAUCUAUAAAAAAGGAUAUUUAUAUUUUGGUUUUAUUGAUAAAAAGGUUAAUUUUGAAUUUUUUUUAUUUUUAUUUUAUUUUAGCAAUUUAACCAUUAAAACCGGUAAACAAUUGCAAAACAAUCUUUGUAACCGAUUUGGGUCGGUUUUAAAGGUUAGAAAAACAAGCAGAUCAAACAACAAACACGUGAUUCCAUAAUCAUAUAAUCUAAGAUGGAAACUAAAAUUGCGACGUGUGGUCCCUAUUUUGGGUGUUCCAGAUGCACUUGUACGAAUUGAAAUGCCAGUCUCAUAGAUAAAUCUGCUUCUCAGAGAAACAUCUGCCAUUUGGAUUUUUGUUGAUGUUUUAAGCACACAACCUCCGGGACAAUAUGAUGGAGAAUUUAGAGUUACCGCUACAAAAGCAGAUGCAGAAUAUGCAACACAAUUUCUUGGUAAAUCUGAGAAACAUCAACUAUACAGGGAACUAAAAAAUUGUCUUGAUGUCAUUGAGCCAAUUGAUGGGAAAACAGUUGAAGAAGUGGUAGAAAGAGUAAAAUAUGCAAAUACAACUUUGAGAAGAGUUCUUCUAUCAUUUUCAUUUUCUGAAUUCUUUUCAGAAAAUUGUCCCCUAGAUAUGAUAGAUGAAGAUGCAAACCUUUCGAUAUGUGUGUAGCUAAGUUUGACAGUUUGGGACUUUGUUCUUCUGGAAACGCCCUCGCUUCUAACUGUCAUCGGUUUAUCCUAAAAUCCUCCAAUUUAGUUUCAUGACUAUUCUUUUUGCGAAUGUCUACAUUCAUUAAUAACAUGUAAGAUAUCCGAUACUGUAAUUGAAUAUCGUUAUAGUGUUAAACAUGGAAGUGCUAAAUGGUAUGAUGCAUUAGAACAACAUUUUAAGUGGCUUCUUCAAUAUAAAAUCAGUCCUUACUUCUGCAAA